RNAcentral lists this non-coding RNA (222 nucleotides) under Staphylococcus aureus. It matches the Rfam family "S. aureus tsr24 small RNA". The record is from RNAcentral. Lineage: Bacteria; Bacillati; Bacillota; Bacilli; Caryophanales; Staphylococcaceae.
AUAUCAUUUUAAGGAAUUCUAACAGAAGUUUCUAUUGGUAGUGUAAGUUGGGCAAAGUGUCUUAUUUUUUUAAAGUAUGUAAAAGUAAAAUUACAUGUUAAUACGUAGUAUUAAUGGCGAGACUCCUGAGGGAGCAGUGCCAGUCGAAGACCGAGGCUGAGACGGCACCCUAGGAAAGCGAAGCCAUUCAAUACGAAGUAUUGUAUAAAUAGAGAACAGCAG